GACGAACGCUGGCGGCGUGCUUAACACAUGCAAGUCGAACGGAAAGGCCCUGCUUUUGUGGGGUGCUCGAGUGGCGAACGGGUGAGUAACACGUGAGUAACCUGCCCUUGACUUUGGGAUAACUUCAGGAAACUGGGGCUAAUACCGGAUAGGAGCUCCUGCUGCAUGGUGGGGGUUGGAAAGUUUCGGCGGUUGGGGAUGGACUCGCGGCUUAUCAGCUUGUUGGUGGGGUAGUGGCUUACCAAGGCUUUGACGGGUAGCCGGCCUGAGAGGGUGACCGGGCAACAUGGGGCUGAGGAAGGGCCCAGUGUCCUAACGGGGGGAAUAGGGGGGAAUAUUGUCCAAAGGGCCGGAGCCUGAAUCCACAACCGCCGGGUCGGGAAGGCCGCCUUCGGGUUGUAAACCGCUUUCGCCUGUGACGAAGCGUGAGUGACGGUAAUGGGUAAAGAAGCACCGGCUAACUACGUG
Molecule: ribosomal RNA, 468 nt
Filed under: uncultured bacterium
Lineage: Bacteria
Description: partial 16S ribosomal RNA
Rfam family: Bacterial small subunit ribosomal RNA
Source: RNAcentral